This is a non-coding RNA of Ictidomys tridecemlineatus (thirteen-lined ground squirrel), 364 nucleotides long. The record is from RefSeq and is a predicted model, not a curated record. NCBI's taxonomy places the organism in Eukaryota, Metazoa, Chordata, Mammalia, Rodentia, Sciuridae.
GCUAAAGUCACCCCAUUCAACCAUCCUGGGAGUCUUGACACAUGGUAACAGGGAUAUAAUAAAUGUGUAUGUAUUACACCACUAAGUUUGAGGGUCUUGGUCCAGGAAGGGAUUCUGGGGAAGUCCACUUGAAUGUCCUGCUGAAAAAUCUUACAAUGUUUGACUUCCAAAGGGGAAGUACUACUCUGUGACUUAAGGAGAAAUUAUUAUUGCUGCUGCUACUGCUAAUACCAUCCUAGACUGUGCCAACCUUUAACACAUUGGAAGAGUGACAUUCUAAGAAAAUGAGUUACUUGUCAAAGUAAGAACUUGCUAAUGUAAGCGGGAGAACCAAAAUUCGAACCUGUUCUUUUCAUGCUGAAAA